AUUGAACGCUGGCGGCAUGCUUUACACAUGCAAGUCGAACGGCAGCGGGGUAGUGCUUGCACUACUGCCGGCGAGUGGCGAACGGGUGAGUAAUAUAUCGGAACGUACCGAGUAAUGGGGGAUAACCAAUCGAAAGAUUGGCUAAUACCGCAUACAUCCUGAGGGAGAAAGCGGGGGAUCGCAAGACCUCGCGUUAUUCGAGCGGCCGAUAACUGAUUAGCUAGUUGGUGGGGUAAAGGCCUACCAAGGCGACGAUCAGUAGCGGGUCUGAGAGGACGAUCCGCCACACUGGGACUGAGACACGGCCCAGACUCCUACGGGAGGCAGCAGUGGGGAAUUUUGGACAAUGGGGGCAACCCUGAUCCAGCCAUGCCGCGUGUAUGAAGAAGGCCUUCGGGUUGUAAAGUACUUUUGUUAGGGAAGAAAAGGGAAGUGCUAAUACCACUUUUUGCUGACGGUACCUAAAGAAUAAGCACCGGCUAACUACGUG
This 490-nucleotide ribosomal RNA is filed under the name uncultured bacterium. RNAcentral describes it as "partial 16S ribosomal RNA". It matches the Rfam family "Bacterial small subunit ribosomal RNA", at positions 30 to 507 of the family's 1533-position model. The record is from RNAcentral.